AACGAACGCUGGCGGCAGGCUUAACACAUGCAAGUCGAACGCCCCGCAAGGGGAGUGGCAGACGGGUGAGUAACGCGUGGGAAUCUACCCAUCCCUACGGAAUAACGCAUGGAAACGUGUGCUAAUACCGUAUACGCCCUACGGGGGAAAGAUUUAUCGGGGAUGGAUGAGCCCGCGUUGGAUUAGCUAGUUGGUGGGGUAAAGGCCUACCAAGGCGACGAUCCAUAGCUGGUCUGAGAGGAUGAUCAGCCACAUUGGGACUGAGACACGGCCCAAACUCCUACGGGAGGCAGCAGUGGGGAAUAUUGGACAAUGGGCGCAAGCCUGAUCCAGCCAUGCCGCGUGAGUGAGGAAGGCCUUAGGGUUGUAAAGCUCUUUCACCGGAGAAGAUAAUGACGGUAUCCGGAGAAGAAGCCCCGGCUAACUUCGUG
This 431-nucleotide ribosomal RNA is filed under the name uncultured bacterium. Its description in RNAcentral is "partial 16S ribosomal RNA". It matches the Rfam family "Bacterial small subunit ribosomal RNA", at positions 29 to 507 of the family's 1533-position model. The record is from RNAcentral.